AGUCUAAAAACUUUUCACAAUAAAAUAUUCUUUAAAUAAUGUAACUCUUGGAGUGGACAUGGGUGGGAUGGGAAAUAGUUUUGUUGUUUUUACUUUAUAUCAUGUUGUUCUGUUUGCUAUUUUUCUUAACAAUGAAUAUGUUUCUUAUAGUAAUUUUUUAAAAAGAUGAAGACUGUGUCACAAGUUUCCGGUACUCCCAACUGAAUUCCAAAUAAAAUUGACAACUGGCUCUUGGCAAAAGAUUUCCCAAAGACAUCUUCAUGCACGCUUGUCUAUUUAUUUAUUGGCCGUGGGAUUCGCCACCAUUGGGCGAGUGGGUCAGUGGAAGGUCUGCCUGUCCUGAGGCAGCUCUUGGCAUCUGACCCAUGGUCCUACAAUGUGAGUUGUGCAGUUGGCACCCAGUAUGGAGCCUUUUGCUUUCUGUCCUUCACAAGCUGGGAUGAUAUAUCUUCUACGACAGGAUAAAGAAGCCAUCCUGAGUGUUGGAUACCCAGUCCCGGCGAGGUAGCAUCUUCCCGAGGACAGCAAUGGUGGCCAUGUCUCCCAAGACAGCACAAUCUUUCCCAGAGACAGGAAAACAUAAGAUGAAUCUCACCAAGGCCAAGGAGAGAAGAUCGCCCACUCCCUUACUGCUCCAGACCUAGAGGCACAAGGCUAGAGUGGCCAAGAAAGUUACCGUAUUGACAGGCUUCACGUUUCAGUUCUGGCUUGCUGCUGGUCAUCUAAACACUCUUUGGUACACUGAGGAACAGAACGGCCAUCAGCACUGAGGGAGAGAACAGAAGUGUGGUCGUUGGCUGAGUGGAACACACGAGACGGAACCUGGACUGCUCCACCCAACCCAUGGAAGCUUCCUUGGGGGAGAAGAAAAUUGCAGAGAAGGGGCUGUUUUCCUGUUUUCUCGGGACAUCCCCGAGGGUGGAGAAGAAGAGGUGUUUCCCAACGGAGCAAGCAUCAGUAGGGAAAGGUGAACUGCAGGGGAUUCUCAGAGGACCGCGACGAGACCCGUAUCCUAUUGUCUUGGAUCUGGUUCAGCACACCACCGCUCUGCUGGCGUGCAGACGUGUAGUAAAAUCUUCUUCCGCACAUUUUUUCUGCUCGCUGACUUCAUCAAAAAGUGCUUUCCAAGCGUCUGAUCGCCCGUGGUGGAGGACGGUUGUUUGGCAGAAAGGAUUAAGGUCUUUUGCUGUGUUUGGGUGCCGACUGUCUUUGAGAAUGCUGAUCAGAGAGGACUCCCUUCUGUUGGCCAGGCCCUAA
RNAcentral lists this long non-coding RNA (1257 nucleotides) under Felis catus (domestic cat). RNAcentral describes it as "lncRNA (ENSFCAG00000049708.1)". Lineage: Eukaryota; Metazoa; Chordata; Mammalia; Carnivora; Felidae. The record is from RNAcentral.